GCCUGGUUGGCUCAGUUGGUGGAGCAUGUGACUCUUAAUCUUGGGGUCAUGGGUUCAAACCCCACUGUGGGUG
RNAcentral lists this transfer RNA (73 nucleotides) under Felis catus (domestic cat). It matches the Rfam family "tRNA". From Rfam's summary of the family: Transfer RNA (tRNA) molecules are approximately 80 nucleotides in length. The record is from Rfam by way of RNAcentral. RNAcentral also lists the same sequence under 4 other names. Lineage: Eukaryota; Metazoa; Chordata; Mammalia; Carnivora; Felidae.